CAUAGCUUGCAGGAAUUGGUCUCCUCCAAAUGUGCCACCCGAAAAUUCUUAAACUACCAUCGGCAUCACCUCUACAUCGAUGAUGUCAGCUUCAACUUUAUUGAACUGAUAUCCAUUCCAAACUUGCCUGACACCACAUGUAAGAAAAUUGCUGAAUGAUUCUCAGUAUCACAGAUAUGAAGCCAUCAGUUCUUCUUACCAAGUACAACACUCCAAAUGCGUAAUGGUUCAUCCUUUCUUCUUAAUGAUAACUGCCUCAAAUAUUGAUUUGAGAGAAAAUCAGCAACCAACACAAAAGAACUACUAGUAGGUACUCUGCAGCAUCUAUCGAGGCCAAUUAUAACUACCAAGGCACUCUGCUGGCAAUGCUGUUGAUCUCAGAUCCUGGUUGACAGACGAUGAAAUGGAUCCCAUAUAGAUGACAACACCUAAAAAGCACCAUGAGUAAAAGGACAGAACUUACAAAAGUUUCAGCACCAGAAGGGGAAUCCACAAAGACAAUAAACUAACCGUGUGAUGUCUUCAUCUUCUGUACUAUAAUAUACUUGCCUCCUUACAGCUUAGCUUAUGAAGAUUCACAAAGGAGACCUGGAAUCUUACCCACAAACUUUUGCAAUUAAGAAAAGGUUGGAAGGGGAGACGAGGACUGAAGGACAUAUGUAAUAAAUAAAUGCAGAAAUAGGAGAUAAGGAUAUAACUAAAGGAACAUGAGAAUUAUUUGAUACAAGGACAAAAGCAAAG
This 741-nucleotide long non-coding RNA is filed under the name Elaeis guineensis (African oil palm). RNAcentral describes it as "long non-coding RNA (EGUI_LNC023978)". Lineage: Eukaryota; Viridiplantae; Streptophyta; Magnoliopsida; Arecales; Arecaceae. The record is from RNAcentral.